This 497-nucleotide ribosomal RNA is filed under the name uncultured bacterium. Its description in RNAcentral is "partial 16S ribosomal RNA". It matches the Rfam family "Bacterial small subunit ribosomal RNA", at positions 28 to 507 of the family's 1533-position model. The record is from RNAcentral.
GAUGAACGCUGGCGGCGUGCCUAAUACAUGCAAGUCGAGCGAACGGACGAGAAGCUUGCUUCUCUGAUGUUAGCGGCGGACGGGUGAGUAACAAGUGGAUAACCUACCUAUAAUACUGGGAUAACUUCGGGAAACCGGAGCUAAUACCGGAGCAUAUUUUGAACCGAAUGGUUCAAAAGUUCAACACGGUUUUCGUGUCACUUAUAGACGGUUCCGCGCUGCAUUAGCUAGUUGGUAAGGUAACAGCUUACCAAGGCAACGAUGCAUAGCCGACCUGAGAGGGUGAUCGGCCACACUGGAACUGAGACACGGUCCAGACUCCUACGGGAGGCAGCAGUAGGGAAUCUUCCACAAUGGGCGAAAGCCUGACGGAGCAACGCCGCGUGAGUGAUGAAGGUCUUCGGAUCGUAAAACUCUGUUAUUAGGGAAGAACAUAUGUGUAAGUAACUGUGCACAUCUUGACGGUACCUAAUCAGAAAGCCACGGCUAACUACGUG